Molecule: ribosomal RNA, 2787 nt
Filed under: Escherichia coli
Lineage: Bacteria; Pseudomonadati; Pseudomonadota; Gammaproteobacteria; Enterobacterales; Enterobacteriaceae
Description: bacterial LSU rRNA
Source: RNAcentral
AGCGUACACGGUGGAUGCCCUGGCAGUCAGAGGCGAUGAAGGACGUGCUAAUCUGCGAUAAGCGUCGGUAAGGUGAUAUGAACCGUUAUAACCGGCGAUUUCCGAAUGGGGAAACCCAGUGUGUUUCGACACACUAUCAUUAACUGAAUCCAUAGGUUAAUGAGGCGAACCGGGGGAACUGAAACAUCUAAGUACCCCGAGGAAAAGAAAUCAACCGAGAUUCCCCCAGUAGCGGCGAGCGAACGGGGAGCAGCCCAGAGCCUGAAUCAGUGUGUGUGUUAGUGGAAGCGUCUGGAAAGGCGCGCGAUACAGGGUGACAGCCCCGUACACAAAAAUGCACAURCUGUGAGCUCGAUGAGUAGGGCGGGACACGUGGUAUCCUGUCUGAAUAUGGGGGGACCAUCCUCCAAGGCUAAAUACUCCUGACUGACCGAUAGUGAACCAGUACCGUGAGGGAAAGGCGAAAAGAACCCCGGCGAGGGGAGUGAAAAAGAACCUGAAACCGUGUACGUACAAGCAGUGGGAGCCUCUUUAUGGGGUGACUGCGUACCUUUUGUAUAAUGGGUCAGCGACUUAUAUUCUGUAGCAAGGUUAACCGAAUAGGGGAGCCGAAGGGAAACCGAGUCUUAACUGGGCGUUAAGUUGCAGGGUAUAGACCCGAAACCCGGUGAUCUAGCCAUGGGCAGGUUGAAGGUUGGGUAACACUAACUGGAGGACCGAACCGACUAAUGUUGAAAAAUUAGCGGAUGACUUGUGGCUGGGGGUGAAAGGCCAAUCAAACCGGGAGAUAGCUGGUUCUCCCCGAAAGCUAUUUAGGUAGCGCCUCGUGAAUUCAUCUCCGGGGGUAGAGCACUGUUUCGGCAAGGGGGUCAUCCCGACUUACCAACCCGAUGCAAACUGCGAAUACCGGAGAAUGUUAUCACGGGAGACACACGGCGGGUGCUAACGUCCGUCGUGAAGAGGGAAACAACCCAGACCGCCAGCUAAGGUCCCAAAGUCAUGGUUAAGUGGGAAACGAUGUGGGAAGGCCCAGACAGCCAGGAUGUUGGCUUAGAAGCAGCCAUCAUUUAAAGAAAGCGUAAUAGCUCACUGGUCGAGUCGGCCUGCGCGGAAGAUGUAACGGGGCUAAACCAUGCACCGAAGCUGCGGCAGCGACACUAUGUGUUGUUGGGUAGGGGAGCGUUCUGUAAGCCUGCGAAGGUGUACUGUGAGGUAUGCUGGAGGUAUCAGAAGUGCGAAUGCUGACAUAAGUAACGAUAAAGCGGGUGAAAAGCCCGCUCGCCGGAAGACCAAGGGUUCCUGUCCAACGUUAAUCGGGGCAGGGUGAGUCGACCCCUAAGGCGAGGCCGAAAGGCGUAGUCGAUGGGAAACAGGUUAAUAUUCCUGUACUUGGUGUUACUGCGAAGGGGGGACGGAGAAGGCUAUGUUGGCCGGGCGACGGUUGUCCCGGUUUAAGCGUGUAGGCUGGUUUUCCAGGCAAAUCCGGAAAAUCAAGGCUGAGGCGUGAUGACGAGGCACUACGGUGCUGAAGCAACAAAUGCCCUGCUUCCAGGAAAAGCCUCUAAGCAUCAGGUAACAUCAAAUCGUACCCCAAACCGACACAGGUGGUCAGGUAGAGAAUACCAAGGCGCUUGAGAGAACUCGGGUGAAGGAACUAGGCAAAAUGGUGCCGUAACUUCGGGAGAAGGCACGCUGAUAUGUAGGUGAAGUCCCUCGCGGAUGGAGCUGAAAUCAGUCGAAGAUACCAGCUGGCUGCAACUGUUUAUUAAAAACACAGCACUGUGCAAACACGAAAGUGGACGUAUACGGUGUGACGCCUGCCCGGUGCCGGAAGGUUAAUUGAUGGGGUUAGCGGUAACGCGAAGCUCUUGAUCGAAGCCCCGGUAAACGGCGGCCGUAACUAUAACGGUCCUAAGGUAGCGAAAUUCCUUGUCGGGUAAGUUCCGACCUGCACGAAUGGCGUAAUGAUGGCCAGGCUGUCUCCACCCGAGACUCAGUGAAAUUGAACUCGCUGUGAAGAUGCAGUGUACCCGCGGCAAGACGGAAAGACCCCGUGAACCUUUACUAUAGCUUGACACUGAACAUUGAGCCUUGAUGUGUAGGAUAGGUGGGAGGCUUUGAAGUGUGGACGCCAGUCUGCAUGGAGCCGACCUUGAAAUACCACCCUUUAAUGUUUGAUGUUCUAACGUUGGCCCCUGAUCGGGGUUGCGGACAGUGUCUGGUGGGUAGUUUGACUGGGGCGGUCUCCUCCUAAAGAGUAACGGAGGAGCACGAAGGUUGGCUAAUCCUGGUCGGACAUCAGGAGGUUAGUGCAAUGGCAUAAGCCAGCUUGACUGCGAGCGUGACGGCGCGAGCAGGUGCGAAAGCAGGUCAUAGUGAUCCGGUGGUUCUGAAUGGAAGGGCCAUCGCUCAACGGAUAAAAGGUACUCCGGGGAUAACAGGCUGAUACCGCCCAAGAGUUCAUAUCGACGGCGGUGUUUGGCACCUCGAUGUCGGCUCAUCACAUCCUGGGGCUGAAGUAGGUCCCAAGGGUAUGGCUGUUCGCCAUUUAAAGUGGUACGCGAGCUGGGUUUAGAACGUCGUGAGACAGUUCGGUCCCUAUCUGCCGUGGGCGCUGGAGAACUGAGGGGGGCUGCUCCUAGUACGAGAGGACCGGAGUGGACGCAUCACUGGUGUUCGGGUUGUCAUGCCAAUGGCACUGCCCGGUAGCUAAAUGCGGAAGAGAUAAGUGCUGAAAGCAUCUAAGCACGAAACUUGCCCCGAGAUGAGUUCUCCCUGACUCCUUGA